RNAcentral lists this ribosomal RNA (1354 nucleotides) under uncultured bacterium. Its description in RNAcentral is "partial 16S ribosomal RNA". It matches the Rfam family "Bacterial small subunit ribosomal RNA", at positions 28 to 1394 of the family's 1533-position model. The record is from RNAcentral.
GACGAACGCUGGCGGCGUGCUUAACACAUGCAAGUCGAACGGAAAGGCCCAGCUUGCUGGGUGCUCGAGUGGCGAACGGGUGAGUAACACGUGAGUAAUCUGCCUCUGACUUCGGGAUAACCAUUGGAAACGGUGGCUAAUACCGGAUAUGACCUCGGAUCGCAUGGUUUGGGGUGGAAAGUUUUUCGGUCAGGGAUGGGCUCGCGGCCUAUCAGCUUGUUGGUGGGGUAAUGGCCUACCAAGGCGGUGACGGGUAGCCGGCCUGAGAGGGUGACCGGCCACACUGGGACUGAGACACGGCCCAGACUCCUACGGGAGGCAGCAGUGGGGAAUAUUGGACAAUGGGCGAAAGCCUGAUCCAGCAACGCCGCGUGAGGGAUGACGGCCUUCGGGUUGUAAACCUCUUUCAGCACCGACGAAGCGCAAGUGACGGUAGGUGCAGAAGAAGGACCGGCCAACUACGUGCCAGCAGCCGCGGUAAUACGUAGGGUCCGAGCGUUGUCCGGAAUUAUUGGGCGUAAAGGGCUCGUAGGCGGUUUGUCGCGUCGGGAGUGAAAACUUGAGGCUUAACCUUAAGCGUGCUUUCGAUACGGGCAGACUAGAGGUAUUCAGGGGAGAAUGGAAUUCCUGGUGUAGCGGUGGAAUGCGCAGAUAUCAGGAGGAACACCGGUGGCGAAAGGCGGUUCUCUGGGAAUUACCUGACGCUGAGGAGCGAAAGCAUGGGGAGCGAACAGGAUUAGAUACCCUGGUAGUCCAUGCCGUAAACGUUGGGCGCUAGGUGUGGGGACCUUCCACGGGUUUCCGUGCCGCAGCUAACGCAUUAAGCGCCCCGCCUGGGGAGUACGGCCGCAAGGCUAAAACUCAAAGGAAUUGACGGGGGCCCGCACAAGCGGCGGAGCAUGCUGAUUAAUUCGAUGCAACGCGAAGAACCUUACCUGGGUUUGACAUAUACCGGAAACAUCUAGAGAUAGGUGCCCCCUUGUGGUCGGUAUACAGGUGGUGCAUGGCUGUCGUCAGCUCGUGUCGUGAGAUGUUGGGUUAAGUCCCGCAACGAGCGCAACCCUCGUCCUAUGUUGCCAGCACGUUAUGGUGGGGACUCAUAGGAGACCGCCGGGGUCAACUCGGAGGAAGGUGGGGAUGACGUCAAGUCAUCAUGCCCCUUAUGUCCAGGGCUUCAAGCAUGCUACAAUGGCCGGUACAAAGGGCUGCGAAACUGUAAGGUGGAGCGAAUCCCAAAAAGCCGGUCUCAGUUCGGAUUGGGGUCUGCAACUCGACCCCAUGAAGUCGGAGUCGCUAGUAAUCGCAGAUCAGCAACGCUGCGGUGAAUACGUUCCCGGGCCUUGUACUCACCGCC